UGGGGGAUAUUGCACAAUGGGCGAAAGCCUGAUGCAGCGACGCCGCGUGGGGGAUGAAGGCCUUCGGGUUGUAAACUUCUUUUGCUCUGAACAAGGCAUGCCUUUGGGGUGUGUUGAGUGUAGGGGUUGAUUAGCGCCGGCUAACUACGUGCCAGCAGCCGCGGUAAUACGUAGGGCGCGAGCGUUGUCCGGAAUUAUUGGGCGUAAAGGGCUUGUAGGUGGCUGGUUGCGUCUGUCGUGAAAGCUCAUGGCUUAACUGUGGGUUUGCGGUGGGUACGGGCUGGCUUGAGAGCAGUAGGGGAGGCUGGAAUUCCUGGUGUAGCGGUGGAAUGCGCAGAUAUCAGGAGGAAUACCGGUGGCGAAGGCGGGUCUCUGGGCUGUUACUGACGCUGAGGAGCGAAAGCGUGGGGAGCGAACAGG
This 420-nucleotide ribosomal RNA is filed under the name Fusobacteriota bacterium. RNAcentral's name for it is "Fusobacteria bacterium partial 16S ribosomal RNA". It matches the Rfam family "Bacterial small subunit ribosomal RNA", at positions 355 to 776 of the family's 1533-position model. The record is from RNAcentral. Lineage: Bacteria; Fusobacteriati; Fusobacteriota.